Molecule: ribosomal RNA, 459 nt
Filed under: uncultured bacterium
Lineage: Bacteria
Description: partial 16S ribosomal RNA
Rfam family: Bacterial small subunit ribosomal RNA
Source: RNAcentral
CCUACGGGAGGCAGCAGUGAGGAAUAUUGGUCAAUGGACGGAAGCCUGAACCAGCCAAGUCGCGUGAGGGAAGACGGUCCUAUGGAUUGUAAACCUCUUUUGUCGGGGGGCAAACGCCGCAACGCGUGGCGGUCCGAGAGUACCGGAAGAAAAAGCAUCGGCUAACUCCGUGCCAGCAGCCGCGGUAAUACGGAGGUUGCAAGCGUUAUCCGGAUUUAUUGGGUUUAAAGGGUGCGCAGGCGGAGGAUCAAGUCAGGGGGAAAAUUGAGAGGCUCAACCUCUUCGAGCCGUUGAAACUGGUUGUCUUGAGUGAGUGAGAAGUAGGCGGAAUGCGUGGUGUAGCGGUGAAAUGCAUAGAUAUCACGCAGAACUCCGAUUGCGAAGGCAGCAUACCGGCGCUCAACUGACGCUCAGGCACGAAAGUGUGGGUAGCGAACAGGAUUAGAUACCCCAGUAGUC